GCUUAGAGAGGGGUCAAUGUCCUAUCAGCUAGUUGGUAGGGUAAUGGCCUACCAAGGCUAAGACGGGUAGCCGGCCUGAGAGGGUGGUCGGCCACACUGGGACUGAGACACUGCCCAGACUCCUACGGGAGGCUGCAGUCGAGAAUCUUUCGCAAUGCCCGAAAGGGUGACGAAGCGACGCCGCGUGUGGGAAGAAGGCCUUCGGGUUGUAAACCACUGUCGGGAGUUAAGAAAUGUAAGGGUGUUAAUAGCAUCCUUACUUGACUAAGGCUCCGGAGGAAGCCACGGCUAACUCUGUGCCAGCAGCCGCGGUAAUACAGAGGCGGCAAGCGUUGUUCGGAAUUAUUGGGCGUAAAGAGCACGUAGGCGGCCUUGUAAGUCAGUUGUGAAAGCCUUCUGCUUAACGGAAGAACAGCAUCUGAUACUGCAAGGCUAGAGUACGGAAGGG
RNAcentral lists this ribosomal RNA (448 nucleotides) under uncultured Planctomycetota bacterium. RNAcentral describes it as "bacterial SSU rRNA". It matches the Rfam family "Bacterial small subunit ribosomal RNA", at positions 217 to 656 of the family's 1533-position model. Lineage: Bacteria; Pseudomonadati; Planctomycetota. The record is from RNAcentral.